This is a long non-coding RNA of Vicia villosa (hairy vetch), 1656 nucleotides long. RefSeq lists it as uncharacterized. The transcript has 3 exons. Lineage: Eukaryota; Viridiplantae; Streptophyta; Magnoliopsida; Fabales; Fabaceae. The record is from RefSeq and is a predicted model, not a curated record.
CCCUGUAGUAUUAGGGGAAUUUGUUUUUAGACCUGGUAAAUUUACAAGCCCCCCUCCCAAUUGCCAAGUGUCUUUGAGGAUUCACUUAUAUUUCUCAACAAUUUGCUUUUCAUUGGAUUCGAACUCAGGUAGCUUCGCUCAUAUAUCAAGCACCUAACCACUGGGCUAGCUCUUCUCUAUUAUAAAUUAUCACCUCAAAAUAAAUUAAUUUCAAAGCAAUAAAUCUCCAGAUCUACAUCAUCUUCCCCAAUUUUAAAACCCUAAUAAAUUCUGCAAUCUUCUUCUACUUCAUUUCCAGCAAAAUAACAAUAGAGAGCUAGUUAAAAUGAAAAUGUAAUACAAUACAUAAAAUAGCAACAGAAAGAGAAAUUCAUUUCAAUUCCCUCUACAAAUUUCUCUUUUUGUCUCUCGGUUCUUCAUUAUAACAUCACUACCACCCAUGAAUUCCUUUCUUUCUCCAACUUCUCAUAUCCAUUUUAUAAAAGUUUCCUCAAAUCAAUAACACAAACACGACAUACCAUACAUGAUUAUAGAUCAAACAUGUUCACAGAAACAACAACAAAAGGAUGCGAGGUUGGACUAGCGUGAGGAGGUUGCAAACCGCGAGAUUCACUGGAGUCGAGAUUCGGUGGAUCAGUUUCGGAUUCGGUUUAGUGUGGCUUUGCGAUUGCAGCGUUAUUAAUAUCACAGAAGAAGUGACGGUGGAUCUGAAAUUAAUGACACAGUGGCGGUGGAUCUAUUUCGAACUCGGUUUAGUGAUUGAUUUUAGGCAAAGAAGAUUUCUUCGGUGGCUCAGAACCUCAAUUUCCCAGGUUUUUCUUUUGUCAGUGUCUACGUUAAAUACUCACUAUUAAUGGGAAGAUGAAGAUGAAACUUUAUGAAACAAUGUUUCUGAGCAAUAUUUGGCAGCUUUGUUUCAUUAUAAUAAUAUAUUAGUAGACUAUAAAAUAAAGUGAAGGAACUAGUCUAGUGGUCAAGCAUUUACCCUAUUAAGAAAGGAACAUGGGUUUGAUUCUUGCCUCUGGCAGAGAUUUCUCUUAAAAUUUCAAAGGUUAUAAAAAAAAUAAACAAUUGACAUGUCACUAAUUAAAAUAUGACGUGGAUUUAAAAAAUAUGAAAUAAUACCAUGUGGCAGUUAGGGGUGUAUCUGAGGGAAUCUGAAAAUUGCAAGGGAGCUUUAAAAAAAAUCUUUUAUAGGGACCUAAUGCGAAACUCGCUAAUAUUAGAGGAGGUGUUGUAUAUUUAACCCUUCUUUAUAUGGUAAUAUGUAGAUGGAUUAUGGUUUUUGGACUGAACCACUAUCUAUAAAAAAUGUAUGAGUCGCAUUCAUCUCAGUCGCGACAUUAGUAAUGGCCUCCAACUUCAUGUAAUUCUUGUUCCCGCCUCACUGCUUUAAUCAUGGUUUGAUGAUGUAUGAUGAAACAAUACCCUAUUUAAUGUCAUGUCUCAAUGUUAUUAGACCAAUUUUGACCUUGUAUGCUCAAUCCUCUCGAUUUAUCAUAUUCGGACAUAAUUAGCUUGGGGAGAGGAUUGACUACCUUUCCUAUUUUAUGACUUUGUGCCUUUUGUAUAACAACAUAAUAUAUAAUUGAAUAAAAUAAUAUAUUUAAAUGAGAGAUAAUAAUUUAUUAUUAAAAAAUACACACAAAGUUAUCA